RNAcentral lists this ribosomal RNA (159 nucleotides) under uncultured Flavobacteriaceae bacterium. Its description in RNAcentral is "partial 16S ribosomal RNA". It matches the Rfam family "Bacterial small subunit ribosomal RNA", at positions 332 to 488 of the family's 1533-position model. The record is from RNAcentral. Lineage: Bacteria; Pseudomonadati; Bacteroidota; Flavobacteriia; Flavobacteriales; Flavobacteriaceae.
AUUACUCCUACGGGAGGCAGCAGUGAGGAAUAUUGGACAAUGGGUGAGAGCCUGAUCCAGCCAUCCCGCGUGAAGGAUGACGGUCCUAUGGAUUGUAAACUUCUUUUGUACAGGGAUAAACCCAGAUACGUGUAUCUGGCUGAAGGUACUGUACGAAUA